This 252-nucleotide ribosomal RNA is filed under the name uncultured bacterium. Its description in RNAcentral is "partial 16S ribosomal RNA". It matches the Rfam family "Bacterial small subunit ribosomal RNA", at positions 524 to 776 of the family's 1533-position model. The record is from RNAcentral.
UACGUAGGCAGCGAGCGUUGUUCGGAGUUACUGGGCGUAAAGGGUGUGUAGGCGGUUGUUUAAGUUUGGUGUGAAAUCUCCCGGCUCAACUGGGAGGGUGGUCGCGAGGCGGCAGGGCUUGAGGCUCGGUGAGGGGCGUGGAAUUCCGGGUGGAGCGGUGAAAUGCGUAGAGAUCCGGAGGAACACCGACGGCGUAGGCAGCGCCCUAGACGAGACCUGACGCUCAGGCACGAAAGCGCGGGAGCGAACAGG